GUUCCCUCUAAAUUGUUUAGGAAUUUGCUGAGUUCUAAGGCUUGUUUUGAACUUGUGAUUCUCCUACAUGAGCCUCCCAAGUCACUGGGAUUGGACCUGUGUGCUAACAUACCCAGCCUUAAUAUGCCAAUUUCUGAGAAUAUAUUUUAUUUUACUUUUUUCUCUCACACUUUAUAUUGUAUUUUUUCAUUUAAACAUCUAACCAGAUGUAGGAUUUUGUUUUUUUAAAACAUGUUUAAGCAUUUUCCACUAAUUUACUACACCAGUUGUCUUUUGAUGAGGCAAAACUGUGAGAAGCUUGUUACAGACUUUCAGAUCACACUAGGUCCUCUGUGAUGUGUAAAUGCAAUAAUUCACAGAUAAGUCCUUCCCUGUUCCCUCUGUAGUCAGUAAACAGAGCCCUACUCUGGGUGCUCAGGUUGCUGUAUUAUAUAUUAUUAUGUAUGUAUCAUGCAUAUAUGUUUUGUAUUGCGUAUUAUUUUUUCUAUUUUGGAGGGGUUCCAUUGUAAAUGAACUUUUCUCUUAAUUGCAUUUCAGUAUUUCCUUUCAUAUAUAUAGAAGUUGAUUUUUUUAUUGCUAAUUGAUUUUUAUUGAGUUUUGUGUCUUUUUCACUGCUGACCUUGGGCACACAUUUUCCUAUUGGGUACUUCCAGGUUUUGAACACCACUUGUCCUGCUGCUGUAAACUUUGAAGUUCAGGAUUUCAUGUGUACCUUCAUUGUGGACUCAUUUGGGUUUCAACUUUGGGAAAUGGCUUGGGGACCAGGAGCCACUGCUGUGACAUAUGAAGUGGAGAUGGUCACUUCAGCAUUUGAAAGUUGAGUGGUCAUGGCCCUGUGAGGAGGUUUCUGUGAGGCCUAUGUGUAUUUGUGUGUGUCUUAGAGCCUCACAACUUCUUAAGUAUUGAUUUCCCCCUAUGUAGCAGGCUUUUGGUAGGUGUUGCGGCGAAGAUGCCCCAUCAAAUGCCCCUGUCUGUUUGCAGUAGACUCUAGUGAGCAGGAAUCCAGAAAUACAAGUCAAAUUCUCACUGUCAAGUGGAUUCUGUUGAUGGGGAGAGAGGUGGUGACAGUUGCAGAGGCUGCACUGUCUUCUCCCAUCUUGUUGCCUGUGGUUGCUGCCUCUGCAGGUGAGUAAAUCUGAGUCUGUGUUGCCUGCAUCCACCUGUAUCUUUUUGGUAGAGUCCUUGAUUUUGC
This 1192-nucleotide long non-coding RNA is filed under the name Marmota monax (woodchuck). Lineage: Eukaryota; Metazoa; Chordata; Mammalia; Rodentia; Sciuridae. The record is from RNAcentral.